Long non-coding RNA from Solanum pennellii, 418 nucleotides. RefSeq lists it as uncharacterized. NCBI's taxonomy places the organism in Eukaryota, Viridiplantae, Streptophyta, Magnoliopsida, Solanales, Solanaceae. The record is from RefSeq and is a predicted model, not a curated record. The transcript is spliced from 2 exons.
CACUAAAUCAUAUCAUAUUUCAAUGGCCUCUAUAAAAUUCUCCAUUGGAUCAAUUUUGCUAAUUUUCUUGAUUUUGUUUUCUCUAUUAGCCCUCCAUCAAUGUGAUGAAAAUACUCAAAUUAAAGCAGACACGACAACCGAUCAAUGCAUUCCAGUUCAUGAGCAAAGCAAUCCAGUAGCCAUAUGGUGUUGCCCAGUAACUAUAGAAUGCUAUGAUACUAACCAAACAUGUCAUAAUAAUUGUCACUAAUUAUGAUAAUUUUUCGAGUAAAAUAUAAUAUUAAUAAUUCGAGAAAGCAUUAUGAAUUUGCUCAAUUAGUACUCAUGAGUUUCAUGUUACUAAUUUUGUUGAUGUAUAACUAAAAUAAAAAUAACUCGAUAAUUAUAACCUUAAUAAAGUUCAAUUUUCAGCUAUCGA